Ailuropoda melanoleuca (giant panda) is the source of this 267-nucleotide unclassified non-coding RNA. It matches the Rfam family "Metazoan signal recognition particle RNA". From Rfam's summary of the family: The signal recognition particle (SRP) is a universally conserved ribonucleoprotein. The record is from Ensembl. NCBI's taxonomy places the organism in Eukaryota, Metazoa, Chordata, Mammalia, Carnivora, Ursidae.
ACUAUCCUGUAGUCCCAGCUACUCGGGAGGUGAGGCAGGAGGAUUGCUUGAGCCCAGGAGUUCUGGGCUGUAGUGGGCUAUGCCGAUCGGGUGUCCACCCUAAGUUCGGCAUCAAUAUGGUGACCUCCCGGGAGCGGGGGACCACCAGGUUGCCUAAGGAGAGGUGAACCGGCCCAGGUCGGAAACGGAGCAGGUCCCUUGAUCUUCUAUAUGCAAAAUAUUUCCUGUUUUGCCUUUAUUUGCUGAGAGGAGAAGAGGGAAGCACAG